This 441-nucleotide ribosomal RNA is filed under the name Triticum aestivum (bread wheat). RNAcentral's name for it is "partial small subunit ribosomal RNA". The record is from RNAcentral. Lineage: Eukaryota; Viridiplantae; Streptophyta; Magnoliopsida; Poales; Poaceae.
AUGGCAAGUUAUCGUACGGCGGUUCAUAAGCCCAAGUCUUGGGCUUUUACCAGGCCUGCCUCCAUAAGUCACCGUCUUCACAAUUCUCCUUGGGCCUCCUUGGACCUUCCUUUUUAUUUAAACCGCCAACAGUGUAACUUGGCCCCUCCUAGGUGUGUCUCACCUCGGAGCUAUAUCCCCAACAUGUGGCCAAUGACUCGCACAGACCUGACGAUGUCUGGGAGACUGGUGAUGAGGAUCCAAGUAGUAUCCAGGACCGCCACUGUCUUGGGGUCGCAAACGGGCUCCGACAUGUCCAUGACCAGCUUGUUGAGCGCCAAUGUGAGCUUGGUGCUGUGGGUAGCAUAUCUGUGGCUAGUCACAUUGGGGAAGACCAUCGAGAACUUACAGCCCGCGGUAGGAGUGAUCGCUAGUCCCACUUGCAAUGGUACAGGUUGUUGA